RNAcentral lists this small RNA (26 nucleotides) under Bombyx mori (domestic silkworm). Its description in RNAcentral is "ovarian small RNA-11749". Lineage: Eukaryota; Metazoa; Arthropoda; Insecta; Lepidoptera; Bombycidae. The record is from RNAcentral.
AGAAAUGCAACACACCUGGCUGUUUG